UACCAAGGAGCAAUCGUAAAGUUUUUGU
This 28-nucleotide non-coding RNA is filed under the name Mus musculus (house mouse). Lineage: Eukaryota; Metazoa; Chordata; Mammalia; Rodentia; Muridae. The record is from RNAcentral.